RNAcentral lists this ribosomal RNA (497 nucleotides) under uncultured bacterium. Its description in RNAcentral is "partial 16S ribosomal RNA". It matches the Rfam family "Bacterial small subunit ribosomal RNA", at positions 28 to 507 of the family's 1533-position model. The record is from RNAcentral.
GACGAACGCUGGCGGCGUGCCUAAUACAUGCAAGUAGAACGCUGAAGAGGGGAGCUUGCUCUUCUUGGAUGAGUUGCGAACGGGUGAGUAACGCGUAGGUAACCUGCCUUGUAGCGGGGGAUAACUAUUGGAAACGAUAGCUAAUACCGCAUAACAAUGGAUGACACAUGUCAUUUAUUUGAAAGGGGCAAUUGCUCCACUACAAGAUGGACCUGCGUUGUAUUAGCUAGUAGGUGAGGUAAUGGCUCACCUAGGCGACGAUACAUAGCCGACCUGAGAGGGUGAUCGGCCACACUGGGACUGAGACACGGCCCAGACUCCUACGGGAGGCAGCAGUAGGGAAUCUUCGGCAAUGGGGGCAACCCUGGCCGAGCAACGCCGGGUGAGUGAAGAAGGUUUUCGGAUCGUAAAGCUCUGUUGUAAGUCAAGAACGGGUGUGAGAGUGGAAAGUUCACACUGUGACGGUAGCUUACCAGAAAGGGACGGCUAACUACGUG